Molecule: ribosomal RNA, 383 nt
Filed under: uncultured bacterium
Lineage: Bacteria
Description: bacterial SSU rRNA
Rfam family: Bacterial small subunit ribosomal RNA
Source: RNAcentral
GCGUAGGCGGCUGAUUAAGUCGGAUGUGAAAUCCCUGAGCUUAACUUAGGAAUUGCAUUCGAUACUGGUCAGCUAGAGUAUGGGAGAGGAUGGUAGAAUUCCAGGUGUAGCGGUGAAAUGCGUAGAGAUCUGGAGGAAUACCGAUGGCGAAGGCAGCCAUCUGGCCUAAUACUGACGCUGAGGUACGAAAGCAUGGGGAGCAAACAGGAUUAGAUACCCUGGUAGUCCAUGCCGUAAACGAUGUCUACUAGCCGUUGGGGCCUUUGAGGCUUUAGUGGCGCAGCUAACGCGAUAAGUAGACCGCCUGGGGAGUACGGUCGCAAGACUAAAACUCAAAUGAAUUGACGGGGGCCCGCACAAGCGGUGGAGCAUGUGGUUUAAUU